GUAGGUGAACCUGCGGAAGGAUCAUUAUCGAAGAACACCCUUCUUCUUAUACCCCUGUGAACCGUCGUCUUAGGACGCUUAUACAUACUCGUGUCAGUGAAUGUCUAUUGUUUUCGUAACAAAUAUAACUUUCAGCAACGGAUCUCUUGGCUCUC
RNAcentral lists this unclassified non-coding RNA (155 nucleotides) under rhizosphere metagenome. RNAcentral's name for it is "partial ribosomal RNA internal transcribed spacer region". The record is from RNAcentral.